This 1007-nucleotide long non-coding RNA is filed under the name Brachypodium distachyon (stiff brome). Its description in RNAcentral is "long non-coding RNA (BDIS_LNC002325)". The record is from RNAcentral. Lineage: Eukaryota; Viridiplantae; Streptophyta; Magnoliopsida; Poales; Poaceae.
GGCUCCAUUUAUUGCCACGGCAGGGCACGCUCUCCCUGCCACCACAAUCAUCUACGGUGCCUAGCAAAGAUUAGUAGAUCUGCAUGUUGCAAAAUAUACCCACUCCAUUUCUAAAUUCUCGUCGUUGUUUUAGUACAAAUUUGAACUAAAAUGACGACAAGAAUUUAGAAAUUAAGUUGUGUUUUGGUGUAGCAACAACACUUGCUAAUGAUCAUGAACGUGUUAUUUGAAUGAAUAGUGAGAUUGAUUGAAACAAUUUGUGUUUUGUGCAGUGUUUAUUGGUUAUUAUUUCUAGCUCCAUUUGAAUAUAUUUGAAUUAUUGUCAUUAUGAAUUAAAUAUGGUCAAUACAAAUUUCAAUAUGGUUCCCUAGGGUGAAUUUCAGAUUCUAGUGGGUAAAGUCCUCUAGGGGAAGAUGAUGAUGUGGCAUAUGCAGCACCCAUGUGAUAUCUUUCCCUAGAGUUCUAGCCCUAGGUAAAGAAAUGUUCCCCUAGAGCUGUCAAAAUGCCCCUAGGUAAAGUCCUCUUUACCCAAUGUAUUAUCUUUAGGGUUCUUUCCCUAGAGUAGUCUCUAGGUGAAGUCUUUACCUAAGGUUUUUAUGCUUUCACCUAGAGUAUUUGGCACUAGAGAAAAUUGUGAUUUCUAGUAGUGAAAAGGAGUGAGUAUUUUGGAAGACCUAUCCGUCUUUCGUAGCACACUACCACAAACUGAAAAUUGUUACCAGGAAGAAGGAUAAAGGAGAAUAAAAAAAAAACUACCCUAGAGAACUGGCCACAUGGUCCUCCUUGAGUCAGCGACGAACUCGACCACAGCCCCAAAAAAGUAGUGGAUAUCAUCCUAGAUUUGCUCGAAAAUCCACUCCCCCAAAGAUGAAAUAUGUCGGAGCACGGUCUCCGGCACCGGGGAUGCCGAGCACCCCCUUUUUGGUUCGGUGGAGGGCGGGGUGAUCGCUCCGGCGAUCGCCGGUGUGACGAUAGACACGAAGUGUAGACACAAGAGUUUUAUCCAG